Molecule: non-coding RNA, 193 nt
Filed under: Clostridium novyi NT
Lineage: Bacteria; Bacillati; Bacillota; Clostridia; Eubacteriales; Clostridiaceae
Description: 6S / SsrS RNA
Rfam family: 6S / SsrS RNA
About the family: E. coli 6S RNA was the first non coding RNA to be sequenced, but its function was unknown until recently. It consists of 184 nucleotides that fold into an extended hairpin structure with a large single-stranded internal bulge.
Source: Rfam by way of RNAcentral
AUAUUUCUGGAGUAUUCGUGGAGCUCUUAUUUUGAACCUACAGAGCUUACAAGGGAGUUCAAUAUUUUGAUGUGAAUUUUUCUAUAAGACCUUAAUAAAGUUAUUAAGGCAUGAGCAUUGAAACAUCUGUGAGGACACCCACCUAUCGGAGAGAUAGGUGUCAAAAUCGGAGCAGCGGUAUUUUGGAGUUUAA